GACGAACGCUGGCGGCGUGCCUAAUACAUGCAAGUCGAACGCAGUGGGGACGGGUGAGUAACACGUGGGUAACCUCCCAUCAGAGGGGAUAACACUUGGAAACCGGUGCUAAACCGAUACUGAUGGAUGAACCCGCGGUGCAUUAGCUAGUUGGUGAGGUAACGGCUCACCAAGGCCACGAUGCAUAGACUACCGGGGAGGGGGGUCGGCCACACUGGGACUGCGACGCGGACAAGGCUCCUGCGGGAGGCAGCAGUAGGGAAUCUUCGGCAAUGGACGAAAGUCUGACCGAGCAACGCCACGUGAGGUAAGAAGGUUUUCGGAUCGUAAAACUCUGUUGUUAGAGAAGCGGUAUCUAACCAGAAAGCCACGGCUAACUACGUGCCAGCAGCCGCGGUAAUUC
This 403-nucleotide ribosomal RNA is filed under the name uncultured bacterium. Its description in RNAcentral is "partial 16S ribosomal RNA". It matches the Rfam family "Bacterial small subunit ribosomal RNA", at positions 28 to 526 of the family's 1533-position model. The record is from RNAcentral.